This 312-nucleotide unclassified non-coding RNA is filed under the name Metapochonia sp. Its description in RNAcentral is "partial contains 5.8S ribosomal RNA, internal transcribed spacer 2, and large subunit ribosomal RNA". The stretch from base 1 to 71 matches the Rfam family "5.8S ribosomal RNA", at positions 84 to 154 of the family's 154-position model. The record is from RNAcentral. Lineage: Eukaryota; Fungi; Ascomycota; Sordariomycetes; Hypocreales; Clavicipitaceae.
GUGAGUCAUCGAAUCUUUGAACGCACAUUGCGCCCGCCAGUAUUCUGGCGGGCAUGCCUGUCCGAGCGUCAUUUCAACCCUCAAGCCCCAGCGGCUUGGUGUUGGGGACCGGCGACCUCGCCGCACCUGGUGCAGGCGUCCGCCGCCCCCGAAAUGAAUUGGCGGCCCCGUCGCGGCCUCCUCUGCGUAGUAGCACAACCUCGCAACAGGAGCGCGACGCGGCCACUGCCGUAAAACGCCCAACUUUUUUAGAGUUGACCUCGGAUCAGGUAGGAAUACCCGCUGAACUUAAGCAUAUCAAUAAGCGGAGGA